Molecule: ribosomal RNA, 502 nt
Filed under: uncultured bacterium
Lineage: Bacteria
Description: bacterial SSU rRNA
Rfam family: Bacterial small subunit ribosomal RNA
Source: RNAcentral
UAGUCCACACCGUAAACGAUGAGAGCUAGUUGUCUGCAGGCAUGCCUGUAGGUGACGCAGCUAACGCAUUAAGCUCUCCGCCUGGGGAGUACGGUCGCAAGAUUAAAACUCAAAGGAAUUGACGAGGGCCCGCACAAGCGGAGGAACAUGUGGUUUAAUUCGAUGAUACGCGAGGAACCUUACCUGGACUUAAAUGUACGUUGCAUAGAUUGGAGACAGUCUUUUCUUCGGACUACGUACAAGGUGCUGCAUGGUUGUCGUCAGCUCGUGCCGUGAGGUGUCGGGUUAAGUCCCAUAACGAGCGCAACCCCUAUCCUUAGUUGCCAGCGGGUCAUGCCGGGGACUCUGAGGAGACUGCCACCGUAAGCGGAGAGGAAGGUGGGGACGACGUCAAAUCAUCAUGGCCUUUAUGCCUAGGGCUACACACGUGCUACAAUGGCAGGUACAGAGGGUUGCGAAGGGGUGACCUGGAGCUAAUCUCAGAAAGCCUGUCCCAGUUCGG